CAGUCGCCGCGGUAAUACGGAGGGAGCUAGCGUUAUUCGGAAUUACUGGGCGUAAAGCGCACGUAGGCGGCUUUGUAAGUAAGAGGUGAAAGCCCGGAGCUCAACUCCGGAACUGCCUUUUAGACUGCAUCGCUUGAAUCCAGGAGAGGUGAGUGGAAUUCCGAGUGUAGAGGUGAAAUUCGUAGAUAUUCGGAAGAACACCAGUGGCGAAGGCGGCUCACUGGACUGGUAUUGACGCUGAGGUGCGAAAGCGUGGGGAGCAAACAGGAUUAGAUACCCCGGUAGUCCCUGUCUCUUAUAC
Molecule: ribosomal RNA, 301 nt
Filed under: uncultured bacterium
Lineage: Bacteria
Description: partial 16S ribosomal RNA
Rfam family: Bacterial small subunit ribosomal RNA
Source: RNAcentral